AUGCCGCGUGCAGGAAGACUGCCCUAUGGGUUGUAAACUGCUUUUAUACAGGAAGAAACACCUCUACGUGUAGAGGCUUGACGGUACUGUAAGAAUAAGGAUCGGCUAACUCCGUGCCAGCAGCCGCGGUAAUACGGAGGAUCCAAGCGUUAUCCGGAAUCAUUGGGUUUAAAGGGUCCGUAGGUGGAUAAUUAAGUCAGAGGUGAAAUCCUGCAGCUUAACUGUAGAAUUGCCUUUGAUACUGGUUGUCUUGAGUUAUUAUGAAGUAGUUAGAAUAUGUAGUGUAGCGGUGAAAUGCAUAGAUAUUACAUAGAAUACCGAUUGCGAAGGCAGAUUACUAAUAAUAUACUGACACUGAUGGACGAAAGCGUGGGGAGCGAACAGGAUUAGAUACCCUGGUAGUCCACGCCGUAAACGAUGGAUACUAGCUGUUCGAACUU
Molecule: ribosomal RNA, 440 nt
Filed under: Olleya aquimaris
Lineage: Bacteria; Pseudomonadati; Bacteroidota; Flavobacteriia; Flavobacteriales; Flavobacteriaceae
Description: bacterial SSU rRNA
Rfam family: Bacterial small subunit ribosomal RNA
Source: RNAcentral